RNAcentral lists this ribosomal RNA (563 nucleotides) under Papiliotrema laurentii. RNAcentral describes it as "partial large subunit ribosomal RNA". It matches the Rfam family "Eukaryotic large subunit ribosomal RNA", at positions 116 to 668 of the family's 3401-position model. The record is from RNAcentral. Lineage: Eukaryota; Fungi; Basidiomycota; Tremellomycetes; Tremellales; Rhynchogastremaceae.
UGAAAUCUGGCGUCCUCAGGGCGUCCGAGUUGUAAUCUAUAGAGGCGUUUUCCGUGCCGGACCGUGUCCAAGUUCCUUGGAACAGGAUAUCAAAGAGGGUGACAAUCCCGUACUUGACACGACGACCGGUGCUCUGUGAUACGUCUUCUACGAGUCGAGUUGUUUGGGAAUGCAGCUCAAAAUGGGUGGUGAGUUCCAUCUAAAGCUAAAUAUUGGCGAGAGACCGAUAGCGAACAAGUACCGUGAGGGAAAGAUGAAAAGCACUUUGGAAAGAGAGUUAAACAGUACGUGAAAUUGUUGAAAGGGAAACGAUUGAAGUCAGUCGUGACCGAGAGGCUCAGCCGGUUCUGCCGGUGUAUUCCCCUCGGUCGGGUCAACAUCAGUUUUGUCCGGUGGAUAAGGGCGGUAGGAAGGUGGCACCCUCGGGUGUGUUAUAGCCUGCCGUCGCAUACAUCGGGUGAGACUGAGGAACGCAGCUCGCCUUUAUGGCCGGGGUUCGCCCACGUCCGAGCUUAGGAUGUUGACAUAAUGGCUUUAAACGACCCGUCUUGAAACACGGACCA